Molecule: long non-coding RNA, 418 nt
Organism: Mytilus californianus (California mussel)
Lineage: Eukaryota; Metazoa; Mollusca; Bivalvia; Mytilida; Mytilidae
Exons: 3
Source: RefSeq, a predicted model, not a curated record
CAGUGUCAGAGUGGAGAAAGGUGCAUGGGAUUGAUCAAACCAGUGCAUUAUCUCCGAUCGAAAUCUCUAAACUGAAGGAGACAUUAGGUAUAGCUCCAUACCUCAGUGAUAAAGCUUGUCAGAGAUAUAACUCUCCAUACAGCCCACCACUCAAUGGAUGGAGAACAGAAUGUAGUACCCACAUGUCUGAAUUGAAGACUCUACCAUUCAAUAUAAACUGUUAUAUUGACCAAACCUGUACAGAUGUCUUAUGUUGUAUGGAUAUAGGACUGCUCAGUACCUCAAUGGAAGCAGAAGUCAAGAUCGAUCCAUGUGACUUCAUGUUGACUGUCAGGAUAGAAAAGUUGACCUUUGAACUGACCUUAUUUGAUUACCAGUGGGGAAAACAAGAAUAUUUUGACUUGUAUGGAGUAAUGCU